GACGAACGCUGGCGGCGUGCCUAAUACAUGCAAGUAGAACGCUGAAGGAGGAGCUUGCUUCUCUGGAUGAGUUGCGAACGGGUGAGUAACGCGUAGGUAACCUGCCUGGUAGCGGGGGAUAACUAUUGGAAACGAUAGCUAAUACCGCAUAAGAGUAGAUGUUGCAUGACAUUUGCUUAAAAGGUGCAAUUGCAUCACUACCAGAUGGACCUGCGUUGUAUUAGCUAGUUGGUGGGGUAACGGCUCACCAAGGCGACGAUACAUAGCCGACCUGAGAGGGUGAUCGGCCACACUGGGACUGAGACACGGCCCAGACUCCUACGGGAGGCAGCAGUAGGGAAUCUUCGGCAAUGGACGGAAGUCUGACCGAGCAACGCCGCGUGAGUGAAGAAGGUUUUCGGAUCGUAAAGCUCUGUUGUAAGAGAAGAACGAGUGUGAGAGUGGAAAGUUCACACUGUGACGGUAUCUUACCAGAAAGGGACGGCUAACUACGUGCCAGCAGCCGCGGUAAUACGUAGGUCCCGAGCGUUGUCCGGAUUUAUUGGGCGUAAAGCGAGCGCAGGCGGUUAGAUAAGUCUGAAGUUAAAGGCUGUGGCUUAACCAUAGUACGCUUUGGAAACUGUUUAACUUGAGUGCAGAAGGGGAGAGUGGAAUUCCAUGUGUAGCGGUGAAAUGCGUAGAUAUAUGGAGGAACACCGGUGGCGAAAGCGGCUCUCUGGUCUGUAACUGACGCUGAGGCUCGAAAGCGUGGGGAGCAAACAGG
RNAcentral lists this ribosomal RNA (763 nucleotides) under uncultured Streptococcus sp. RNAcentral describes it as "bacterial SSU rRNA". It matches the Rfam family "Bacterial small subunit ribosomal RNA", at positions 28 to 776 of the family's 1533-position model. Lineage: Bacteria; Bacillati; Bacillota; Bacilli; Lactobacillales; Streptococcaceae. The record is from RNAcentral.